AUGAGCCUCACAUGCUGCCUUCGAGAGCACAGGUGUCCUUUUCGCGGCCCCUGGAAGGAGCACGUGAACACCCUGUAUCGUGGCAGCAGCAAUGCAAGCGCCCGAGUCCUUUUUCCUGCUGUGCAGUCAGUUACCAGUCCAGGACAAUCAGAAAGAGCAAGUGUGCCCGAAGGUGCCUGCCAGGGAGACCAUGCUGAGUUUUGCAACAGGGAUCCGUGGCAUCCAAAGCAGCGAGUUUCUGUAACCACUGUGCAGUGUGUACAUGGGUGAGCUGGUGCAAGUCCUCGCGUGCCCCUAUAGCGACUGCACACGAUGCGAGGUGGGUGGCUGUGCCCAGCGUGAGCAGGCUGCUGCCAAGAAAUGUGGGCAGCCUGGCCAGUUUGCAGAGCGUUUCCCCUUUGCGUGGUUUGGACUGCGGCUGGGCUGGCCGCCAUGUUGCUGAGACGCUGGUCUUUUUGAGUUCCCUGUCAUUUGUCACACAGUAUACUGCUGAGGUUGAAUCCUAACAAGACAGAAACUUUGUAGGUAGGAAGUUCCAGAAUUCUGGAUAUUUUUUUAAAUUUGCUUAAAANUUUUUUUCCAGAAUUCGGGAGUUGGGGAUCGUGCCUGUUCCAAAUGGGACUGCAGUUCCUCAGAAGGAGCGGCUGUGUAGCCUGAGAGUUCUUCNGGAAUUAUCAUUGCCACUGCUGUGGCAAGAAGCAUCUAUUACAGCUUCAGCCNGGGUACCAGCUGCCAACCUAGGCAAAGCUGGUGGUCCCUGCCCUGGUAACCUCAUAUUUGGGUUGCUGCCNGUCAAAGUGCCCAUGCAGUCAACCAGGAGCUGCCACAACUCAAUGGCACCCAACACCAAGCACAAGGCACUCUAUGCAGGGCUUCCCUCNAACCUGGUCCAGAAGCUGCAACUGGUGUAAAAUGUGGUGGACCGGCUGUGGAGCGGAGCAUCCAUUCAGGCACACUUUACACCUCUGCGUAAGCAGCCUCACUGGUUGCCAGUCAGCUACUGGGUCAGAUUCAUGAGAUCAGGGUUCUUGCUGAAUCAUCUUCACUAAUAUUGACUAGUAAGAUUGCUGUGAUUUCAUUAGAGGUUCUACUGUGAGUAACACCAAUCACUGAACAUCUUCUUGCAGGGCCUUCCCUAUGGUGGCACCCAGCCCCAGGAGUUCUCUCCCUUCUGUUGUUCAUGAGGCACGUAUUUUUGUCUUUUAGGUACCUGUUGAAAAUUUACUUAUCCACCCAGGCAUACUCAGGCAUUCCCAAUGUGAAUUAAUAUCUGUCUCAUGACUCCUACCCAGUUUUUAAUAGUGUUUUUAUGUUCUACUGUUUUUAAACUUGGUUUAAAAUUUUACUGUAAACUGUUCUGAGAUUUUGAUUGGAAGAAGUGGUACAGAGAUGUUUCAAAUAGAUAAAUAAUCCUCUUACAGUUCAGGUAUUCUUAUUGCUGUUGGUUUGGGUUGCCUGCUUCUUACAUGGACAAUAAAACUGUAAUAGAUUCGCA
This 1495-nucleotide long non-coding RNA is filed under the name Salvator merianae (Argentine black and white tegu). RNAcentral's name for it is "lncRNA (ENSSMRG00000011988.1)". Lineage: Eukaryota; Metazoa; Chordata; Lepidosauria; Squamata; Teiidae. The record is from RNAcentral.